GGCUGCCCUUGAUCUACUAUUCGAUACAACGACUGGAACCACACCACAGCAGCCAUCGCGGAUCUCUUCGCCGAUCCAUCCCCACCCCACCUGCCUCCUUCCUGAUCCCGACCUCCCGAACCCUACCUCGACGCCAACCGCGCCGCCGCCUCCUUCGACCCACCACUCCGUUCCAUUGAUCCACUCCGCGACGGCCAGUUCUCGCGGCAGUCGCCGCCCGCUCUUCUCCUCCUGGUCCACCUCCCCACCAAGCUCUCUCUCCUAGAUCGUGAGAUGGUAGCGGAGGCACAUAGGUUUCGGCUUCUCCACUAAUGGCGAUAUCAAGAGCUGGUGGAGGCCGGCCAAUGGACACGUCUCUCGCCCUCGCACGUAACGAAAAAAAUCAGCCAACAUGCCUCCCCUCGAUCCGUUUCCAACGCGGAUAGUCAAAGACGCCCCAGCCGCCAUAGCGGAGUCCUUCGCCGACACCGAGCGGUGACUACCCUAGCGGCGGUUGCGGGAAAGAUGGAUCCUUAUCCUCCCGAAAAUAGACUCGGCGCCCUCGUGGUUUGUAGCGGCACACUCCCUUCCCACGCCGCCGAAGAGGCCCCCAGGGCGGCCGACGACGCCUUUAGCGGCCUUCCGGAGACACAGCAAGUCUGGCCUACGGUGGGGUGGCGGCAUGCGCAGCAUGGUCGUCGUUUGAUUCAGGAGCGACCUCCGGCUGCUGAACAACCAGUCACUGGAGCACGUGUGGAUGGCCUCUGGCACUGUCCUCACCAAUGGAGGAGCCUCGCCUAUGCUGCAGUGCUGCAGGGCGGUGGUCGGGGUGGUCCGCACCGGCGCCUACAAUGUGUGCCUCAUCCUAACUGGCAAAGUGAUCUUCAGCCUCCCCAUCAACUACACCCUCGGCAUCUCCCUUCCGAGGAUCUGCAAGUCACUCCCCGUCCCGCUCGUUUGUAGAGUUCGGUUUCUGCUUGCAACAAUUUAUUUUCAUUGAAGAAAUUUACUUCUAAUUAACGAAAAAUGUUCUUGUUUGUUCCAUGCUUGUGAUGUGUAGAUACGGCGACGCAGAUCCUAGCUCCAGAUGUCUUAAAUUCUCCUUUGUUGACCUUGCCUUGACAUCGCCUCGAUGUCUCGCAAUUCUUCCGCACUGUUGCCACCGGAUUCGUCGGUUGAUGAGAAGGCGCUGUUGCCGUGAGUGGAAUCGACGCCGAUCAUGCAGGGGCAGAGAUAGGUGGUGGUACCCAUCAUGCGUUGGUAGAUAUGUUUUUGCAAGUCUGUGUUACACUUGGUAUUGUGUGCGUAUGUAUGUAGUUAGACAAGUAAAUCUGUUUCAUGGAGGAGAGAGUGCAGCUCUGUGAAGAGUUCAUGAAUACUUCUGAAAGAAUGAUCAGCUGACAGUCUAUAAAAGGUAUAGAAAUGGCAUGCUUGGUCCAAAGUACAACAGUUUGUUGGCUUGCUUCGGACAGUCUUUCGCCGUGCUAUAUUUGUCAAGAGGUAAUGACAUAUGAGAAGCAAAGAGGAUCAAAUGAUUCCACAUACUGGGUAUUAUUUGAACUGAUAUGGGGGGCUACUUCAGAUUCCUUUUCAGCAAAAUAUGGGAACUCCAUUUUCUUGCAAGGGUAACCAUAGCAUCUACAUUGCUUUAUGCCUGAAACUGAGAGCUUUGGAACAGUGCUAUGCGCUAUUGGACAAGUAGAUACAGAGAUACCUAUCAUUGGUGGUCAGCAGCAAAUACGAGAAAUGUUAGAUACAUCCACACUCUUUCUUGAUCUAUGGUUAAUCCCCCUCUUGCCUACCAUAAGCUCUUGGUGAAUUACCAGAUUAAGCGGAAGUGCUAACCUAUUGUUGGUAGCAGUAGGAGAUGUUGAUGUUCCAUGGAAUUGUUAAUCCCGUCUCCAAGUUUUAAUGUUUGAUCUGCGUGUUAUUGACCUAAGAGAAAAUGGGUUCUGAAGCUUCGAUAUGAUGUAUUUCUAACAAAUAGCGACAAAAUCAAUACCUCACACGGGCAAUUACUCUUAUAUGGUUUGAUGCUUGAAAAAUUGUAGAGUCAGCACCUCUUAUUAAAGUGUACACGAUGCAAUAAAAAAAGCAUCUUGAGUACCAUGCCCAGGUACAGUUUUAAUGCUUAUAGCUGUAUUUUGCUCCAUUAGAAAAUACAACUAUAUUUUAUUCCUGAUAGGGCAAUCUUAUACGGGGAAAAUUACUCCUGAAUGUGUACAACUAUAUAAUGUUCCUACAGAUGUAUUUUGUUCCAUUAAAAACAUAGUAUUUCUGCUAUCUCAGUUGGAUGGCCACUGUUAUGUCAAUUUGAUGGCCACUAUGUUUUGCUACGGCAGAAGAUUCAACUAUAUUUUGCUAAUACAAGUACAACACUCAACCUCUGCUAUGCCAAUUCGAUGGCCACUACAUAUUCAGACGGGCAAUGAACCAAAUAACUCUUUCACUGGGCCACUGAUAAUAUUAUUGGUCGAGCUGAUUAGGGAAGUAAACUAUAUACAACAAUAAAGUGAAGUUGAACUGUUUAGAGAAGUAAAAUAUACAGAAGUAAUCUGAAGUACACUUGGAUCCAAAAGAUGUUGGUGGAAAUACUUCAACAAGCUUGAUGCAUUCAUUAUUCUGUAAUACUAGGAUUAACAAUGAUGUCGCUGUUGGUUACUUUGCAGGUAACAAUGUUACGCUGAUGACAUAGUUUAUUUAGCUCUCAAGAAUGGCUGCUUAUCGUUCAAGAAUCUGGACAACUACUUCUAUUUCGUAUUCAUACUAAAACUUCUAUGAAGCAACAAAUUUUCCUUCUUGUGAAUUUGUUCUGAAGCUACUAAAAUAUCCCCUUGUACUAAAAUAAGAUUUCUACUCAAAUUUUGUCAAGAUACUAAAUUUUACUUGCUUGCUCAUGCCUUAAAAUCUACCUUGUUGCCGAAAUUUAAUGAGGAGCUCAAGGGAAAAAAUGAACCAAGGAGAAGGGAUCCAGAGAAGGAGAAUUAAGAUGUGCCUUUCACUUAUAAUUUCUAAACACUACAGGAAUCAUGAUAUCGUGUUAGCAUAAUUGCAUGGUUACGUGUUAGAAGUGUGAAUGUGGGAGGCUUGGCCGGGGGAUUGUGAGCUGGAGAUUGUGGAGGAAAAUAAACAAGACUGAUUUGACUGUAAAAAAAUGUUGAUGUGCUUUUUAUGAAAUAUUUGGCCAAUCAUGUGUUGCAACGUGGGCACAUAUUUUCAUAGUUCUAUAUCAGUCAUAUCUGACAGAGAUCUGGAUGUUCGGUAUAUGAUAUGUAGUAUACUAUGCAGACCGCUGUUAAAUAUCAUAUACCCAGCCCGUGUACUACAUAUCAUAUAUCCACUCUGCACACUACAUAUCAUAUACCCAGUCUAAUGAACCAUGCGGUUCUGGCAUGAAGAAAAAUCCGUAUAUGGAUUUUUUUUCAUGGUUCAUGGGACCAACAACAUUGAAAGAGCAUUUCAGCUGUAUGAUUAGGCUUCUUGAAUUCUGACGUGGAGUAUGUGAUCGCGAGCUCACAGGAGCUCGGAAUCACGCCCGUCCAGAAUUGCUAUGAGAUUCGUCGCAUUAAAUGCUAUAGCCAGUUGGUGGGUCCAUGCCGACAAAGGAAAAUUAGGAUAUACGGCACAAUACGCGUCUGACAGAUGGGGCAAGGUGGACGGAGGGGUGCACGGCGUCGCCUGUGCAUGCCUGAGCCGUGGCUCGAGCUUGUCGCAGGCGUCCUGAUCCGUGGAUCAGGUACGGUGCUUUCUGCUAGCGCCGGCAGUGCCCGAACUAAAUGCAGUAGUUGGGUCAGUCGCUGGUUACGGGGGUGAAGUUGGAUUUGCCUCUCGUCCCGGUCGGUGAAGAGGUGGAGAUAUUUACUCCGGCGACGGCGACUGGGCGGUGCAGCGACCUCGGACAGGCUCCGGCGACCAUGGAGUUCUUACUGCAGCCGCUAAACAGUAGAACAUUCCUGGAAGAGGUGAAUGAUAACAACGGGGCAAUGGAGCCCGUGCGGUUCCCAGUAUCCGCGGUGGCUGAGGUUGAGGAUCCAGCACCGGCCGCUUCAAGUGCUGACGGGCAGAUCUGCGGGGCGGAGGCAGCAGGCGCGGACAUGGCUCAGUGCUCCGAGCACUCAAUGGAGCAAAUUGACCCAAAAACACCAGGGCGGACGCAAAGAGUGCAUGUAGGUGCUGCUGCUCUACGAAGGCCUCCGUGCCCGGACAGGGUCACGGCGCUGGAGAAGACUGACAGGGAAUUUGCCGAGCAUCCAGGUGACAUAGUUAUGGUGCCAAAGAUUGGAACAAAUUUUGACACGCUCGGAGAAGCUUAUGACUUUUAACUCCUGGAAGAAAGGAUUUGGAAUACGAUAUGGAAAGAGCAGGCUAAACGUUAGCAGGACUAAGUGUAUGCAAGAUAUAGUCUGUGGAUGCGCGGGGAAGCCAAUCGUUGAAAAUACUCGUUCAUGCCGGUGUGAAUGCCCAGCCCUCAUCAGACUACUGCGGACAAAGGACAAUGGAUGGUACGUAGCAGAGCACCGAGAUGGGCACAACCAUGCACUUUCCCAAACAUAUGGACAGACAAUACACUGGCCUACGGCAGUGAGCGCGGAAGCACGGAUCUGCGUGAUGGACACAGCAGCGGUGGUCAAUGAGGGACAGCUCGCGUCAGGCCUCGGAGCUCUGAACUGGAAAGAUGAAUCCACAUGCUUCUAUCUGGAAUUAGAGGAUAAAGCUGGUGUUGAGAACACGAGGUCUUGUCGUUGCGAAUGCCCGGCUCUAAUAAGACUGCUACGGGCAGAGGACAAUGGGUGGUACAUUGCAGAGCACAGAGAGAGUCACAACCAUUCCCUUUCACUGAAUUUGGGUGAGACGAUCCACUAGCCCUCGCACAAGCACAUAGAUGUGUUCGGCUGGUGACUACAUGUUCUCGUCUCUUUGAUCGUUCUUUUUUCAGAUCUGAAACUGCACUGCAUCAGUGGUGAUUGAACUCAAGUUCUCGCCGGAUUUCCAUUGAUUGAGGAGGUGGACGGCACGUAAUGCUUGAGGUGUCCGUCUAGGACACCGGUGGCCGCGGAUGCCAUUGAUGUCCAUCAGGUGUCGACAGCAGCCAUUAGUGCCGAAGGGCAGGUCUGUGAGCUGGCUGCUAGUGUGGGCUCCGGGAAGGAGAGCUCCCCGCCGGAAUUGGAGCUGUCUGCGGGGAAACUCAAUCCGCAAGCACCAUGGUUGGCAAUGAGGAUUCGCAUUGGAUCAGCGAGUCCAUUUAGAGGCAGCGUGGUCAAGUUAGCCGGACUGUGGGCGCCCGCAAUAAUAAAAGAGAUUGGGAGACCAUGCAGACCUGCUCACUGCAAGAACCACGGUGUACAGGGUCACUCGAGAUUUUUUUUGUACAAGCCGGGUGAAAUGAGACUGGGUUCAGGGGCUUGAGUCGGCGUUCAUGCCAAAUGGUUAGACAGUUGGGUUCGAAUUCCCUCCAGUUGUGCAUCACAAAGAGUUUUUAGUUAUGUCAACGUGCGUGUGUUAUUUCUGCUGUAAUGAUCCUCUAUUUCCUUUGUGGACAAAGAAUUGGCUCAAUGGGACUAAUAUGGUACGUGAAUUUUAGACUGAACGACAAUUGAUGUGCAUCUAAACUUCAUGUCCUAUUUGUACGUGGCAGUAUUACUCGUGUGAGCUGUAGGCAGAAAUUGGUUAGGAUCUAAUCCUUGCUCUGUUUUGAAUUCUGAGACAAGGAACAAUUGACGGGCGGUAGAAGGCUCGGGGUCGGAGAAAAUGGCUCAGCUCGUUAGCGAUCCAUCUGUCCCGAUUCUAGGGGACGGCAACAGGCUUAAUAAAUGUUGGGCCAUAGUGGGCCAAGCAACAGAUUGAUGGGACAUAUACUAUUUGGAAUACGCCUGCUUAUACACUGGGAUGUCCGAAUCUUGCAGAGAAACAAUGUGGGAGAUAAUGAGAGUCUGUGCGCUCGAGCUCAAUUCAGCAUUUUCGAUCCCGUCUCCAAGUUUUAAUGUUUGAUCUGCGUGUUAUUGACCUAAGAGAAAAUGGGUUCUGAAGCUUCGAUAUGAUGUAUUUCUAACAAAUAGCGACGAAAUCAAUACCUCACACGGGCAAUUACUCUUAUAUGGUUUGAUGCUUGAAAAAUUGUAGAGUCAGCACCUCUUUUUAAAGUGUACACGAUGCAAUAAAAAAAAGCAUCUUGAGUGCCAUGCCCAGGUACAGUUUUAAUGCUUAUAGCUGUAUUUUGUUCCAUUAGAAAAUACAACUAUAUUUUAUUCCUGAUAGGGCAAUCUUAUACGGG
RNAcentral lists this ribosomal RNA (6250 nucleotides) under Triticum aestivum (bread wheat). RNAcentral's name for it is "partial small subunit ribosomal RNA". Lineage: Eukaryota; Viridiplantae; Streptophyta; Magnoliopsida; Poales; Poaceae. The record is from RNAcentral.